GUGACAAUGGGAAAUUCGGCGUGAACUGUGAGAGACACUGCGACCGCUGUAACGGGACAUGUGAUGCUGUUGAUGGAAGAUGUCUCUGGGGAUGUGCUGAGGGAUACACUGGUUCCAAAUGCGCAGUGAAGCGUGAAUCACAGAGAUGUUCGGCAAUCACUCCUGCAACAGCUGGUAUUAUCGGCUUAACUGCUGGAAUAUGUUUCAUGCUGAUUCUAGGAGUUGGACUCUACGUGGGCCUCGUAAGACAAGGGAGGCUGCAGUGGAUAAGCUCGUCUCACAAGGAUGCAGUAGAAGUCAAGGAAACUCAAGUGCCAGUGGACAAGGACACAACACAGCCAUCAGACAACUACACAUCUAUAUCCGAGCAGGCACGUGGUCGCAACAUCUACAACAACGACUAUGCUGCGCUGGAUGUCGAGGCAAAGGCGAAUAAUGACUAUGACGUAAUUAAGAACCAGGCUUAUGAAAAUCUGUAGAA
Molecule: long non-coding RNA, 481 nt
Organism: Haliotis rufescens (red abalone)
Lineage: Eukaryota; Metazoa; Mollusca; Gastropoda; Lepetellida; Haliotidae
Exons: 3
Source: RefSeq, a predicted model, not a curated record